AGUGAACGCUGGCGGUAGGCCUAACACAUGCAAGUCGAACGGCAGCACAGUAAGAGCUUGCUCUUACGGGUGGCGAGUGGCGGACGGGUGAGGAAUACAUCGGAAUCUACUUUUUCGUGGGGGAUAACGUAGGGAAACUUACGCUAAUACCGCAUACGACCUACGGGUGAAAGCAGGGGAUCUUCGGACCUUGCGCGAUUGAAUGAGCCGAUGUCGGAUUAGCUAGUUGGCGGGGUAAAGGCCCACCAAGGCGACGAUCCGUAGCUGGUCGGAGAGGAUGAGCGGCACCCCGGAAUGUGGCAACGGUUCCCACCCCCCUCGGGCGGGCGGGGGGGGAAAUUUGGGACAGAGGGCGGAACCCUGCCCCAGCCAACCCGGGGGGGUGAAGAAGGCCUUUGGUUUGGAAAGCCUUUUUUUGGGGAAAGAAAAGAAGCAGGUUAACCCCCCGUUUUUUGACGGGUCCCCACGAAAAAGCCACGGCUAACUUCGUG
Molecule: ribosomal RNA, 491 nt
Filed under: uncultured bacterium
Lineage: Bacteria
Description: partial 16S ribosomal RNA
Rfam family: Bacterial small subunit ribosomal RNA
Source: RNAcentral